This is a small nucleolar RNA of Plasmodium cynomolgi strain B, 104 nucleotides long. It matches the Rfam family "small nucleolar RNA snoR18". Lineage: Eukaryota; Apicomplexa; Aconoidasida; Haemosporida; Plasmodiidae. The record is from Rfam.
UAUAAAGCUUUCAUGAUGAUUUCAAUGAUAGGACAGAAAAAUACCUUCAUGUUGAUAAAUCUUUUAGCCGAUAUAUUAAACAAUUCACUGAUCGAAUGCCUUUG